This 71-nucleotide non-coding RNA is filed under the name unclassified sequences. The record is from RNAcentral.
UGGCAUCAAUGGAUGAACCUUUACGUGGUGAUGCUAUAAGUAAUCUAUUAUAGAUGAAACUAAUCAGUCUU